This 33-nucleotide small RNA is filed under the name Arabidopsis thaliana (thale cress). Its description in RNAcentral is "ATSL259440". Lineage: Eukaryota; Viridiplantae; Streptophyta; Magnoliopsida; Brassicales; Brassicaceae. The record is from RNAcentral.
CCUUUUCUUCUUCUUCUUCUUCGUCUUCUUCUC